CCGUAUAAGAAAGGACCGGCUAACUUCGUGCCAGCAGCCGCGGUAAGACGGGGGGUCCUAGCGUUGUUCGGAAUCAUUGGGCGUAAAGCGUGUGCAGGUGGUUUGUAAAGUUGGAUGUGAAAGCCUUGGGCUUAACCCAAGAAGUGCAUUCAAAACUGCCAAACUUGAGUAGGGAAGAGGGUCGUGGAAUUCCAGGUGUAGUGGUGAAAUACGUAGAUAUCUGGAGGAACACCGGUGGCGAAGGCGGCGACCUGGUCCUNUACUNACACUCAUACACGAAAGCGUGGGGAUCAAACAGGAUUAGAUACCCUGGUAGUCCACGCUGUAAACGAUGGAUACUUGGUGUUGAAGGUAUUGACCCCUUCAGUGCCGGAGCUAACGCGUUAAGUAUCCCGCCUGGGGAGUACGGUCGCAAGAUUAAAACUCAAAGAAAUUGACGGGGGCCCGCACAAGCGGUGGAGAAUGUGGUUUAAUUCGAUGCAACGCGAAAAACCUUACCUGGGUUUGGCAUCCUCUGAACGCCGUAGAGAUACGGAAGGCCCGAAAG
This 547-nucleotide ribosomal RNA is filed under the name uncultured delta proteobacterium. RNAcentral describes it as "bacterial SSU rRNA". It matches the Rfam family "Bacterial small subunit ribosomal RNA", at positions 478 to 1023 of the family's 1533-position model. Lineage: Bacteria; Deltaproteobacteria. The record is from RNAcentral.